Molecule: ribosomal RNA, 253 nt
Filed under: uncultured bacterium
Lineage: Bacteria
Description: partial 16S ribosomal RNA
Rfam family: Bacterial small subunit ribosomal RNA
Source: RNAcentral
UACAUGGGGUGCAAACGUUGCUCGGAAUUAUUGGGCGUAAAGCGCACGUAGGCGGUUCGUUAAGUCGGAUGUGAAAGCCCUCGGCUCAACUGAGGAAGUGCACCCGAAACUGGCGAGCUUGAGUACGAAAGAGGAUCGCGGAAUUCCCGGUGUAGAGGUGAAAUUCGUAGAUAUCAGGAGGAACACCGGUGGCGAAGGCGGUUCUCUGGGCAUGUCCUGACGCUGAGGAGCGAAAGUGUGGGGAGCGAACAGG